GCGGUUGUGCAGGCACGCCAUCUUCCUGAGGAGCAGCGGCUCGAAGCCUUCUGUGAGCUGCCUUGUGAAAUCAGAGUUUCUCAUUGCUAUGUUCCUGACAGAAUCAUAGCAGAAAGGGAAAGAUAUCAGGAAAGGAUCGCUAUGUAUUGGAGGUCUCCAAAUUGCCUGAUGGGCUGUAGAUUGAUUUCUGUACCACAGGUACAUUUGCUCAUUUACAACCAUUCUCAGCAUUUUCAAAAAAGGAUGCCUAAAAGUGUGAUGGUAUCCGGAUGUAUGGAGCAUACAGUUCAGAGAAAAGCUUUCCUUCUGCCUUCUUUCUUCUCCACACUCCUUACCACUGUUGAUAAGAAAAUGAAGACAAGAUGAUCUCUUCUGUUUAUACAUGUUUUGUUGUAAGGCUUUUGCUUUGGGCUAAUUUCUUCCACUUGGCCGGCCAGCUUUUCUCCUGGGAUCUCUGAUAGUUGCUGUAGUGUUUGGCAGCCUGUGGCUCUGCAAGGUGUAAUGACUGGCUUCAAAUUUUCUGCUUUCUUCUGUCACUAUAAUACCUGGUGUUAGAAGUGCUGUUUACGAACUCCUUUUUUUCUUUUGAGAGGGAAUGACAGAUUACCAUUCAUCGCAUACACUUGUAAACAUUUCAACUGGAAGUAACCAGAAGAGUAGUGCAAUUAUUCCUUGUAGCUUUCUCCAGUAUUGCUCUUCGACAUUAUAGACAAACCAGCAUGAAUAUUCUUUUUUUCAUCUGAGCAAAAGCCAAUGCAGUUUUGUGUUAGGACUCCCAUCACGACCAAUUUCCUUUGCUGUCAGUCUACACCUUCUGUUUGUCAUUUCUUUCUUAGUAUGCUAUUUAAAAUAUGAAUGUUCUUUCUUUGCUGCAUAUACUGUGAAGUCUGCUUUGUACAAUGUGUCAAGUUUUUGUAUCUUACAUUUGCACUUAUUUAAGUUGGAUUUGAGCUGUCACAUUCAAAAUUUGCUAUAUUUCUAGUUCACAAAAUGCAUGUGGAAUUUUCCUGUGAUGGAGUGACUGUUGUGAACUGGGCUCUUUGGCAAAUAAUUUCAUGCUGAGGAACCAGAUGGACAGGCACCCAAGCAGAAUACCUCCUUGUUUAAAUCAAUAUGAACUGGAGGCCAUUUCUUGGUAAUUGAGUUAAUGAGGUCAGUGAGAACUUCUUACUAGGAAUAAUUUGAAUGAUUUUGUAUUCUUAUAAUCACUUGUUAUGAAUGUACAACCAGUGUGAUCAUUCCUGGCUAGCAACUCAGAGAUUUAAAUGUUGAAAUGGAUAUUUGUGAUGACACAGGAAGUCUUUGUGGAAUUCACAGUAUUUUCAAAAACUCAGAUCAUUAUUUUAGGUUCAUAGGAAUAGUAAUUUUUAAAAUUAUUUUUAAUUUGACUUUGUGUUUCUCAGGCGUUACUUAAUAAAAAAAAAACAACUGUGCCAAUUCUCAUCCUUAAACCAAAACCCAAAUCCUCUCUUCCUUGCUUCUGCUAUCUCAAAGGAGGUAGUAUGGAAAUACUUAGAAAUUUGGUUGGCAUUUAUGCUAUGAAUGAGAAUUUUGAAAACUGAUUGGGCUGAAUAUGGUUGCUUUUCCUCUGUAUUUUGUACUGAAUGUUGUUUUAUUCUCUACUCAGGUGUAACUUUGAUUUUAUCUUGCAUUUUAGUCUUGGAAAGAGUUUUAGCAUUAAAUGUGCAUAAGUGACAUUUGCCCCACAAAGAUGGUUGUUGUCAGGACAGACUGAAAAAGCAAACCAAAAGUAAAUCAAAAACUCCUCUAAAGAAAUGACUUUUUGUGGACAGCAUAAAUUAUAGUGAGAUAAUGGAAAUGUUACUUGAUGUAAACGCUACCUGAUCAAAAGUCAACACUUGUACAAAAUUAUUUUCCAGACAGCCUACUUGGGAAUUAUGUAGUAAUGUAGUGCACCUAUAAGAAUAUUGCUGAUUUUUAAGGGUGCUGUUGCAUUAAGAGUUAUUAUAUUCCUUUGAGAAAUUACUUAAGUAGUAUAACAAGUUUUCCACACAGGCUAUAUUUCUGCUACAUUUCUAAAACACACCUGUGAGAAUUAAGAGUUGGGCAGCUGUUGCUACUGAGCCUCAGGGUCACCUUCAGGCAGUGCACUUGUGAGGCUGGGAAUCAGCUACAGUUCAGAAAGAAAACCAAAGCCUUUUAUAACUAUAUGCUUUAGAUGGCCUGAACUCUUCUGGAAAACUCAUAGAGUGUAAGAUGACUCUAUAAGGGUCACCUAAUAGGAUUUCUAUACAAAUUAUUUCUUAGAGGAAUUUUCUCUGAUUCUCUAGUGUAAAAAAGAAAUUGCACAUUUAGACUCCUUAGCUUCCAGAAUACCUACUGCUCUUCCGUGGCACAGUUGAUACUGGAAUAUCUCCAGCAUGAGUGAGAAACUACAGGCAGUACAAAAAACACUAGCAAGAUUUUGUACAAUAUUCAGGCAACUUUAUUUCCAGUCAAUUGCUGCAAUUUUAACAUUAUUUGUGAUGUAUUAUUUUAGCCACUGUUUAGCAGCAGAAUAAAAAGACAGCCUGAUGUGAAUUUCAGAGUAACUUCUUGAAUUUUAGUUAAAUAGUAUUAUUUCCUUAAUUAUUUCUGGUAUCCUUAAAACUAGAGGUAACAUGAAAAUUGGUAUCUCUUGGCAUGUCAAAACCUCUGUCAGACCAAAUCAAAAGUACAAAUUCAAAAGAUUUUUGAGUGGAUAUUAAUAUUCUUCUGUAGCUAAGGCGUGCUGCUCAGGAUGAAGGCAUAAAGAAAUGAGAAGGUCAUUUCUGAUGGAAACUGUCUAUUCUAUUGAUGCCAACAUUAAAUAUCACUUUUGUAGCUAUGGAAAGUCAAGAACUCUUGUGAAGGUAUUUAUUUAGGGAAUUCCAUUGAAAUCAGACUUGUAGGAGAAAAUUGAAAGGCCCCUCAGCUGCCAAGCAGUACAUGAAGCCCUUCCCAAAAAUCAAGGUAAUAGAACAGAAAGCUUUUUUUUUUUUUUUUUUGCCUGCUUGUUUUAAACAAAUGGUGUUACAUGCUGCAAAUUUCCCUGUGGCUGGUGGCAGUAACUGAAGUUGAACCCAAACCUCAGUGCAUGUCAGUAGAUACAAUCUGCAUUUUGUUUAUAGUCAAUCAAUUUCCUCAGUUAUUGUUCUCUCCAGGCUAUAAUGAAGUAAAUCUUUCUACAUUUUUUUUUUUUUUAAAGCAACAAGUUAGAAGCCUGAUGUUGCUAAAUAGAACUGAUGGCCAUUAGAAGAAUGUACGAAUUAGAACAAGAAUCAGUUCAUACUGAAAACAAGAUUUAUUGUUUUAGGUGAAAGAAAUAUAAAUUAUUUAAUUGCCUCACAACAGCAUAAUUCCAUAAUAAUGCUUCAUAACAGCACAACAUCACACCAAGGCAGAAUGGAACGUUAUCAAGCUUGCUAACAUAUUAAGAGUUUAAAAACAAACAAGCAAAAGCAUUUGGAUUC
Molecule: long non-coding RNA, 3452 nt
Organism: Gallus gallus (chicken)
Lineage: Eukaryota; Metazoa; Chordata; Aves; Galliformes; Phasianidae
Exons: 6
Source: RefSeq, a predicted model, not a curated record